AGAUGGCGACCGGCGCACGGGUGAGUAACACGUAUCCAACCUGCCGAUAACUCGGGGAUAGCCUUUCGAAAGAAAGAUUAAUACCCGAUGGUAUAAUCAGACCGCAUGGUUUGAUUAUUAAAGAAUUUCGGUUAUCGAUGGGGAUGCGUUCCAUUAGGCAGUUGGUGAGGUAACGGCUCACCAAACCUCCGAUGGAUAGGGGUUCUGAGAGGAAGGUCCCCCACAUUGGAACUGAGACACGGUCCAA
RNAcentral lists this ribosomal RNA (247 nucleotides) under uncultured bacterium. Its description in RNAcentral is "partial 16S ribosomal RNA". It matches the Rfam family "Bacterial small subunit ribosomal RNA", at positions 86 to 334 of the family's 1533-position model. The record is from RNAcentral.